This 498-nucleotide ribosomal RNA is filed under the name uncultured Acidobacteriaceae bacterium. RNAcentral's name for it is "bacterial SSU rRNA". It matches the Rfam family "Bacterial small subunit ribosomal RNA", at positions 8 to 487 of the family's 1533-position model. The record is from RNAcentral. Lineage: Bacteria; Pseudomonadati; Acidobacteriota; Terriglobia; Terriglobales; Acidobacteriaceae.
AGAGUUUGAUCAUGGCUCAGAAUCAACGCUGGCGGCGUGCCUAACACAUGCAAGUCGCGCGCGAAAGGGGGGGCAACCCCCCAAGUAGAGCGGCGAACGGGUGAGUAACGCGUGGGUGAUCUACCUUCGAGUGGGGAAUAACACCGGGAAACUGGUGCUAAUACCGCAUGACAUCCUUGGUUCAUUCUGGGGAUCAAAGCCGGGGACCGCAAGGCCUGGCGCUUGAAGAGGAGCCCGCGUCCGAUUAGCUAGUUGGCGGGGUAACGGCCCACCAAGGCUCCGAUCGGUAGCCGGCCUGAGAGGGCGGACGGCCACACUGGGACUGAGACACGGCCCAGACUCCUACGGGAGGCAGCAGUGGGGAAUUUUUCGCAAUGGGGGAAACCCUGACGAAGCAACGCCGCGUGGAGGAUGAAGGCCUUCGGGUCGUAAACUCCUGUCGACUGGGACGAAAGUAGUCUGACCUAAUACGUCGGGCUAUCGACUUACCGGUGAGAG